Molecule: long non-coding RNA, 313 nt
Filed under: Mytilus galloprovincialis (Mediterranean mussel)
Lineage: Eukaryota; Metazoa; Mollusca; Bivalvia; Mytilida; Mytilidae
Source: RNAcentral
GUUUCUGUUAGGGAAGAAGACAAUGUAUUUGCUUAGACAUUUUCUAACAGUGCAACAUUGUAAUAUUGAAGAGUAGGGGAGGGGCCGGUUUUUAGUCGUUUAGGGGCAUUUUUUUCGUCUGACUACAGUAUAUUUAGAAUAUUUUGUAGUGUUAUCUCCUCCGACAUGGUGGUAUAAAUAAUCAUAUUCUAACCUAUCGAACGUCCCGAAAUCCUAAAUAUAUCUCAAGAAAAAUCCAAUUUAAUAAGUGUCGUUGCAUGCGCGAUAAUUGUCCGAAGUUCCACGACUAUUAUUUAAAUAUGUCAAAAUAAAG